GCCAAGGUAGCUCAAUUGGUAGAGCGCUGCGUUGAAGGCGCAGGCGUUGGGGGUUCGAUUCCCUCCUUUGGCACCA
Molecule: transfer RNA, 76 nt
Filed under: Rhodoferax sp.
Lineage: Bacteria; Pseudomonadati; Pseudomonadota; Betaproteobacteria; Burkholderiales; Comamonadaceae
Also listed under: 1 other name
Description: tRNA-Phe
Rfam family: tRNA
About the family: Transfer RNA (tRNA) molecules are approximately 80 nucleotides in length.
Source: RNAcentral